CGUAACGCGUAUGUAACCUACCUAUAACAGGGGCAUAACACUGAGAAAUUGGUACUAAUUCCCCAUAAUAUUCGGAGAGGCAUCUCUCCGGGUUGAAAACUCCGGUGGUUAUAGAUGGACAUGCGUUGUAUUAGCUAGUUGGUGAGGUAACGGCUCACCAAGGCAACGAUACAUAGGGGGGCUGAGAGGUUAACCCCCCCACACUGGUACUGAGACACGGACCAGACUCCUACGGGAGGCAGCAUG
This 246-nucleotide ribosomal RNA is filed under the name uncultured bacterium. RNAcentral's name for it is "partial 16S ribosomal RNA". It matches the Rfam family "Bacterial small subunit ribosomal RNA", at positions 109 to 353 of the family's 1533-position model. The record is from RNAcentral.